Molecule: non-coding RNA, 24 nt
Filed under: Arabidopsis thaliana (thale cress)
Lineage: Eukaryota; Viridiplantae; Streptophyta; Magnoliopsida; Brassicales; Brassicaceae
Source: RNAcentral
UGCCUCUGAUGUUCGCCAUUCACU